This 485-nucleotide ribosomal RNA is filed under the name Fusarium sp. Its description in RNAcentral is "eukaryotic LSU rRNA". The stretch from base 118 to 271 matches the Rfam family "5.8S ribosomal RNA". The record is from RNAcentral. Lineage: Eukaryota; Fungi; Ascomycota; Sordariomycetes; Hypocreales; Nectriaceae.
CUUUAAUGUUGCCUCGGCGGAUCAGCCCGCGCCCCGUAAAACGGGACGGCCCGCCAGAGGACCCAAACUCUAAUGUUUCUUAUUGUAACUUCUGAGUAAAACAAACAAAUAAAUCAAAACUUUCAACAACGGAUCUCUUGGUUCUGGCAUCGAUGAAGAACGCAGCAAAAUGCGAUAAGUAAUGUGAAUUGCAGAAUUCAGUGAAUCAUCGAAUCUUUGAACGCACAUUGCGCCCGCUGGUAUUCCGGCGGGCAUGCCUGUUCGAGCGUCAUUUCAACCCUCAAGCCCCCGGGUUUGGUGUUGGGGAUCGGCUCUGCCUCACGGCGGUGCCGCCCCCGAAAUACAUUGGCGGUCUCGCUGCAGCCUCCAUUGCGUAGUAGCUAACACCUCGCAACUGGAACGCGGCGCGGCCAUGCCGUAAAACCCCAACUUCUGAAUGUUGACCUCGGAUCAGGUAGGAAUACCCGCUGAACUUAAGCAUAUCA